Molecule: ribosomal RNA, 94 nt
Filed under: uncultured marine bacterium
Lineage: Bacteria
Description: partial small subunit ribosomal RNA
Source: RNAcentral
AGAAACCUUACCAGCGUUUGACAUGGGAAGUACCGGUUACAGAAUGGUAACCUUCAGUUCGGCUGGCUUCUACACAGGUGCUGCAUGGCCGUCG